This 246-nucleotide ribosomal RNA is filed under the name Triticum aestivum (bread wheat). Its description in RNAcentral is "partial small subunit ribosomal RNA". Lineage: Eukaryota; Viridiplantae; Streptophyta; Magnoliopsida; Poales; Poaceae. The record is from RNAcentral.
AUGGUUGACCACUUGAUUAGUGAAGAUGUUGCGAUGAACUCACAUAAGAAUAGUGUUGCUACUGAAAUUGAAAAGAUUAUGGAAGAAGUUCUGGCAUGUGGAGCCGAUGAAACAAGUGAUGAGUACUUCAUAGCAACCAAGUUGUUUGCGAAGUUUGAAAAUCGUUGUUUCUUUAACAAUAUGAAGACUAGCGAAGGGAAGAAGAAUUGGCUUAGGAGGAUGUAUGAAGAGCGAAAUAGGCAUUAG